RNAcentral lists this ribosomal RNA (231 nucleotides) under uncultured beta proteobacterium. RNAcentral describes it as "partial 16S ribosomal RNA". It matches the Rfam family "Bacterial small subunit ribosomal RNA", at positions 980 to 1211 of the family's 1533-position model. The record is from RNAcentral. Lineage: Bacteria; Pseudomonadati; Pseudomonadota; Betaproteobacteria.
UUUGACAUGGCAGGAAGUUUCCAGAGAUGGAUUCGUGCUCGAAAGAGAACCUGCACACAGGUGCUGCAUGGCUGUCGUCAGCUCGUGUCGUGAGAUGUUGGGUUAAGUCCCGCAACGAGCGCAACCCUUGUCAUUAGUUGCUACAUUUAGUUGGGCACUCUAAUGAGACUGCCGGUGACAAACCGGAGGAAGGUGGGGAUGACGUCAAGUCCUCAUGGCCCUUAUAGGUGG